UACGUAGGCAGCGAGCGUUGUUCGGAAUUACUGGGCGUAAAGAGUGUGUAGGCGGUGCUCCCAGUCUGUUGUGAAAUCUCCCGGCUUAACUGGGAGGGUGCAGCGGAAACUAGAGUGCUAGAGGGUGGGAGAGGUAAGCGGAAUUCCUGGUGUAGCGGUGAAAUGCGUAGAUAUCAGGAGGAACACCUGUGGUGUAGACAGCUUGCUGGACCGCUUCUGACGCUGAGACACGAAAGCGUGGGUAGCAAACAGG
Molecule: ribosomal RNA, 253 nt
Filed under: uncultured bacterium
Lineage: Bacteria
Description: partial 16S ribosomal RNA
Rfam family: Bacterial small subunit ribosomal RNA
Source: RNAcentral